Unclassified non-coding RNA from Pongo abelii (Sumatran orangutan), 147 nucleotides. It matches the Rfam family "Metazoan signal recognition particle RNA". Rfam says of the family: The signal recognition particle (SRP) is a universally conserved ribonucleoprotein. The record is from Ensembl. NCBI's taxonomy places the organism in Eukaryota, Metazoa, Chordata, Mammalia, Primates, Hominidae.
GCUGGGCAUGGUGGCGUGUGCCUGUAAUCCCAGCUACUUGGGAGGCUGAGGCAGGAGAAUUGCUAGAACCCAGGAGGCAGAGGUUGCAGUGAGCCAAGAUCAUGCACUGCACUCCAGCCUGGGCAACAGAGCCAGACUCUGUCUCAA